AUGACUCAGUCACAUGUUCUGUUCUCCUUGUGCCAAUAUUUAGACCAGAAGGCCCAGCUGUCCUGCCCUCUCCCACCAUGAGUGUUAGCCUCCUGUUCUGGGGGGCCUUUUGUCUCCUGCUUGCAGGUGCAGCACAUGCAGGGGUCACUCAGAACCCUACAUUCCAGGUCUUAAAGAAAGGACAGAGCCUGACGAUGUCAUGUGUCCAGGACAUGAACCACAACUACAUGUACUGGUACCGCCAGGAUCCAGGAAUGGGCCUGAAGCAGAUUCAUUACUCAGUUGCUGCUGGCACCACUGAUAAAGGAGAAGUCCCUGAUGGGUAUAAUGCAUCUAGACCAAACAUACAGAACUUCCUGCUCACCGUGGAGUCAGCUGCCCCCUCGCAGACAUCUGUGUACUUCUGUGCCAGCAGUGAUCCACAGCACUGCAUAACCAGCUCUUCUCUACACACAAACCCAGGGCAGGCUCUGCCUCCAUCUCCUGAAACAGAACACAGCAAUGCCUGA
Ochotona princeps (American pika) is the source of this 509-nucleotide non-coding RNA. NCBI's taxonomy places the organism in Eukaryota, Metazoa, Chordata, Mammalia, Lagomorpha, Ochotonidae. The record is from the annotation of a RefSeq genome assembly.